Molecule: ribosomal RNA, 429 nt
Filed under: Acidobacteriota bacterium
Lineage: Bacteria; Pseudomonadati; Acidobacteriota
Description: Acidobacteria bacterium partial 16S ribosomal RNA
Rfam family: Bacterial small subunit ribosomal RNA
Source: RNAcentral
UGGGGAAUUUUGGACAAUGGGGGAAACCCUGAUCCAGCCAUCCCGCGUGUGCGAUGAAGGCCUUCGGGUUGUAAAGCACUUUUGGCAGGAAAGAAACGUCAUGGGUUAAUACCCCGUGAAACUGACGGUACCUGCAGAAUAAGCACCGGCUAACUACGUGCCAGCAGCCGCGGUAAUACGUAGGGUGCAAGCGUUAAUCGGAAUUACUGGGCGUAAAGCGUGCGCAGGCGGUUCGGAAAGAAAGAUGUGAAAUCCCAGAGCUCAACUUUGGAACUGCAUUUUUAACUACCGGGCUAGAGUGUGUCAGAGGGAGGUGGAAUUCCGCGUGUAGCAGUGACAUGCGUAGAUAUGCGGAGGAACACCGAUGGCGAAGGCAGCCUCCUGGGAUAACACUGACGCUCAUGCACGAAAGCGUGGGGAGCAAACAGG